Molecule: ribosomal RNA, 711 nt
Filed under: Streptococcus pseudopneumoniae
Lineage: Bacteria; Bacillati; Bacillota; Bacilli; Lactobacillales; Streptococcaceae
Description: bacterial SSU rRNA
Source: RNAcentral
GACGCUGAGGAGGAGCUUGCUUCUCUGGAUGAGUUGCGAACGGGUGAGUAACGCGUAGGUAACCUGCCUGGUAGCGGGGGAUAACUAUUGGAAACGAUAGCUAAUACCGCAUAAGAGUAGAUGUUGCAUGACAUUUGCUUAAAAGGUGCAAUUGCAUCACUACCAGAUGGACCUGCGUUGUAUUAGCUAGUUGGUGGGGUAACGGCUCACCAAGGCGACRAUACAUAGCCGACCUGAGAGGGUGAUCGGCCACACUGGGACUGAGACACGGCCCAGACUCCUACGGGAGGCAGCAGUAGGGAAUCUUCGGCAAUGGACGGAAGUCUGACCGAGCAACGCCGCGUGAGUGAAGAAGGUUUUCGGAUCGUAAAGCUCUGUUGUAAGAGAAGAACGAGUGUGAGAGUGGAAAGUUCACACUGUGACGGUAUCUUACCAGAAAGGGACGGCUAACUACGUGCCAGCAGCCGCGGUAAUACGUAGGUCCCGAGCGUUGUCCGGAUUUAUUGGGCGUAAAGCGAGCGCAGGCGGUUAGAUAAGUCUGAAGUUAAAGGCUGUGGCUUAACCAUAGUACGCUUUGGAAACUGUUUAACUUGAGUGCAAGAGGGGAGAGUGGAAUUCCAUGUGUAGCGGUGAAAUGCGUAGAUAUAUGGAGGAACACCGGUGGCGAAAGCGGCUCUCUGGCUUGUAACUGACGCUGAGGCUCGAAAGCGU